Molecule: ribosomal RNA, 785 nt
Filed under: uncultured bacterium
Lineage: Bacteria
Description: bacterial SSU rRNA
Rfam family: Bacterial small subunit ribosomal RNA
Source: RNAcentral
UAGCGGCGGACGGGUGAGUAAUGCUUAGGAAUCUGCCUAUUAGUGGGGGACAACAUUCCGAAAGGAAUGCUAAUACCGCAUACGUCCUACGGGAGAAAGCAGGGGACCUUCGGGCCUUGCGCUAAUAGAUGAGCCUAAGUCGGAUUAGCUAGUUGGUGGGGUAAAGGCCUACCAAGGCGACGAUCUGUAGCGGGUCUGAGAGGAUGAUCCGCCACACUGGGACUGAGACACGGCCCAGACUCCUACGGGAGGCAGCAGUGGGGAAUAUUGGACAAUGGGGGGAACCCUGAUCCAGCCAUGCCGCGUGUGUGAAGAAGGCCUUUUGGUUGUAAAGCACUUUAAGCGAGGAGGAGGCUACUAGUAUUAAUACUACUGGAUAGUGGACGUUACUCGCAGAAUAAGCACCGGCUAACUCUGUGCCAGCAGCCGCGGUAAUACAGAGGGUGCGAGCGUUAAUCGGAUUUACUGGGCGUAAAGCGUGCGUAGGCGGCUGAUUAAGUCGGAUGUGAAAUCCCUGAGCUUAACUUAGGAAUUGCAUUCGAUACUGGUCAGCUAGAGUAUGGGAGAGGAUGGUAGAAUUCCAGGUGUAGCGGUGAAAUGCGUAGAGAUCUGGAGGAAUACCGAUGGCGAAGGCAGCCAUCUGGCCUAAUACUGACGCUGAGGUACGAAAGCAUGGGGAGCAAACAGGAUUAGAUACCCUGGUAGUCCAUGCCGUANACGAUGUCUACUAGCCGUUGGGGCCUUUGAGGCUUUAGCGGCGCAGCUAACGCGAUAAGUAGACCGCC